This 403-nucleotide ribosomal RNA is filed under the name uncultured bacterium. Its description in RNAcentral is "bacterial SSU rRNA". It matches the Rfam family "Bacterial small subunit ribosomal RNA", at positions 32 to 413 of the family's 1533-position model. The record is from RNAcentral.
AAUCAACGCUGGCGGCGUGCCUCAGACAUGCAAGUCGAACGCGAAAGUUUCCUUCGGGGAGCGAGUAGAGUGGCGCACGGGUGAGUAACACGUAGGUAAUCUACCUUCGGAUGGGGAAUAACAAUCGGAAACGGUUGCUAAUACCGCAUAAUGCAGCGGCACCUAAUGGUGACAGUUGUUAAAGCGGGGGAGUCGUAAGACCUCGCGUCUGAAGAGGAGCCUGCGGCGGAUUAGCUUGUUGGUAAGGUAAUGGCUUACCAAGGCGACGAUCCGUAACCGGCCUGAGAGGGCGGUCGGUCACACUGACACUGACAUACGGGUCAGACUCCUACGGGAGGCAGCAGUCGGGAAUUUUGGGCAAUGGGCGAAAGCCUGACCCAGCAACGCCGCGUGAAGGAUGAAA